GAAAUGCGAUAAGUAAUGUGAAUUGCAGAAUUCCGUGAAUCAUCGAAUCUUUGAACGCACAUUGCGCCCUCUGGCAUUCCGGGGGGCAUGCCUGUCCGAGCGUCAUUACGCACCCUCAAGCCCGGCUUGUGUGAUGGGCCCUGGCGUCUCGGUCGCGAGACGGGCCCGAAAGGCAGCGGCGGCGUCGACCCGAUGAGCACGAGCGUAUGGGGACUUUUGUCACACGUUUGCGGUGCGGACCGGCGCCUGCUUGACUUUUCUGAUUAUCCAGGUUGACCUCGGAUCAGGUAGGGAUACCCGCUGAACUUGAGC
Molecule: unclassified non-coding RNA, 312 nt
Filed under: plant metagenome
Description: partial contains 5.8S ribosomal RNA, internal transcribed spacer 2, and large subunit ribosomal RNA
Rfam family: 5.8S ribosomal RNA (bases 1-105)
Source: RNAcentral